RNAcentral lists this long non-coding RNA (4212 nucleotides) under Solanum tuberosum (potato). Its description in RNAcentral is "long non-coding RNA (STUB_LNC002712)". The record is from RNAcentral. Lineage: Eukaryota; Viridiplantae; Streptophyta; Magnoliopsida; Solanales; Solanaceae.
AUGAGACACCCAACUUGUGAAGAAGAGAGUGAUGGGUAAGUCCGGUGAGAGAUUUUGUAAACAGAUCUGCAAGCUGAGAGGAAGAUCGAACAUGAGAGAGAGAAAUAAGACCGGCGAGGUACUGCUGACGAACGAAAUGACAGUCGAUUUCGACGUGUUUCGUUCGUUCAUGAAAGACCGGAUUUUUAGCAAUAUGUAUGGCAACAGAACUAUCCGAAUGAAGAGGAACCGACAAACUGAUCGGAACAUUGAGAUCUACGAACAAUCGGACCAACCAAGUAAGUUCGGCAACGACUCGCCUCAUCGACCUAUAUUCAGCUUCAGCCGAACUGAGUGAUAUUGAUGCUUGCUUUUUUUAUUUCCAUGUAAUAGGAGAAGAACCAAGAGAAAUAUAGAAACCACUGACGGACUUUCGUGAAUCCGGGCAGGUUCCCCAAUCGGAAUCACAAAAGGCAAGGAGCUGGAAGGACGACGAACUGGACAUAAAGAUCCCAAGACCUGGAUCAUGGAGCAAAUAGCGAAGUACUCGUAAAGCCGCAGUAAAAUGAGGAAGACGAGGGUCCUACAUAUACUGACUAAGGUGCUGUACAGUGAAUGAGAGAUCCGGCCUCGUGUGAGUCAGGUAAUUCAGUUUUCCCAGUAAGUGUCGAUAUAGAGUAGGAUUCGUCAAAGGAAUACCUUCAUUGGCCUUUAAUUUGACAGAAGAAUCCAGAGGUGUAGAAACAGGAUUAAGGUCCAAACAAUCGAACUCUGUUAAUAAUUCAAAAAUGAACUUUCUUUGAGAAAGAAUUAAACCAUGUGGUUCCCGAAUGACUUCCAAACCGAGGAAGAAGUGUAAAUUACCAAGAUCUUUAAUCUUAAAUUCUGCAUCCAAGAAUAACUUGAGUUCCUGUAAGUCGGCUGGAUUAUCUCCUGUCAAUAAAAUGUCAUCGACAUAAACUGCAACUAUAGAAAUCGAAUCAGUAGACUUCUUAAAAAACAAAGAAUAGUCAUUGAGAGAAUGACUAAAACCUUUGAAAUUGAGGGCAGCAGUGAGUUUUGAAUACCAUUGUCGAGAGGCCUGUUUUAGGCCAUAAAUAGACUUCUUUAAUAAACAAACAUGAUUAGGGGGAGGAGGAGAAAGACCAGUAGGAAAUCUCAUGUAAACUUCCUCAUUGAGGUCACCAUGUAGAAAUGCAUUAUUUACAUCUAAUUGAAAGAGACCCCAUCCUCUCUUUACUGCAAUAGCCAAAAUACAGCGAACAAUAGUCAUCUUCACCACUGGUGAAAAAGUCUCAUUGUAAUCCACCCCUUCUUUUUGUAUAUCACCUCUAAUGACCAAUCUGACCUUAAAUCUCUCAAUACUACCAUCUGAAUGUUGUUUGACUUUGUAAACCCACUUGCAAGGCAAAGCUUUUUUCCCAUGAGGCAAAAGAACAACAUCCCAAGUUCAGUUUAGUUCCAAAGCAGCCAGUUCUAGAUUCAUGGCUUCCUGCCAAGCAGGAUCAUGUAAUGCCUGUUCAUAGCUAGCAGGUUCAUGGAUAUUAGAGACAGAGUUGAGCAUAACCUGAUUAGAAGAGGAUAAAGAAUGGAAUGAAAGGGAAGUAGGAGUGAUAGGACUAAGAAAACAGGAAGAACUUACAUAUGUGAGUUGUAAAACAUGACAAAUAUAAUCUGUAAGAUAAGAAGGAGUCCUAGUAUUCCUAGAAGACUUUCGGACAAGAGUAUCAAUAAGAGGAGUUGGAUGGGGAGGAUCAGGAGAUGUACUGAUAGGAGAAGGAAUAGGAUUACAGUCAGAGGAGGGAGAAGAAGGAGGAAUAGGCAAAGUAUUAGGAACACUAGACAAUGUAGAGUCAGGCGCAAGUGUAAAUAAAGGAAAAUCAGAAACAUGUAUAUCUGAGGGAGGAAUUGGAAAUAAUCUAUGAGAAAUGUGAGACAUAUCUGAUGAAAAGGGAAAAUAUUCUUCAUAAAAAAUGAUAUCUCUAGAAACAAAAAUUUUCUUUGUUUUAAGGUUCAUGACUUUGUAGCCCUUUUUCCCAUAAGGAUACCCCAAAAAUACACAAGGCAAGGCUCUUGGAUCAAACUUUGUUCUAUGAGGAGAAGUAGUGGAAACAAAACAUAAACAACCAAAACAUCUUAGAUGUGAAUAAAGAGGUUUAUCUUUAAAAAGGAUUUCAAAAAGUGUUUUGUGAUUCAAAAUAGAAGAAGGAAACCUGUUAAUCAGAUAGGUGGCAGUUAAUAAACAUUCUCCCCAAUAAAUGAUAGGUAAAUGAGAUUGAUAUAACAAGGCUCUUGAAGUUUCAAGCAAAUGCUUGUGUUUCCUCUCCACUAUUCCAUUUUGUUGUGGAGUGUAAACACAAGUAGUUUGGUGAAUUAUCCCUUUGGAAAGAAAAAAAUCAGAAUGCAAUUUUCCAGCCCCUAAUUCAAAAGCAUUGUCUGUUCUGAUUAUUUUGAUUUGGGAGUUAAACUGUCUUUUAACCAUGGAAAUGAAAGAUUUAAGAAUAGAAAAAGCAUUGGAUUUAGAACUAAGUAGAUGAGUCCAUGUUGCUCUACUAAAAUCAUCAACAAUGGUUAAAAAAUACUUAAAACCAUUAUAUGUAGGAGUGUUGUAAGGACCCCAAGUAUCCACAUGUAUUAGUUCAAACACUGAUUUAGUAGAGAGACAACUUUUAGGAAAAGGCAAUUUAGAUUGUCUUGCCAUAGGACAAAUAAUGCAAGGAGAUGAAAAUUUGGAACAAGGUAGAAAAGCUGGAACAACAUUCUUCAUAUUACUCAAAGGCAUAUGGCCUAAUCUAUAGUGCCAUAGCUUUUCUUUUACAUUUGAAUCAAAAAAACUAGAACAUGAAGUAAGUUUCUUUUACAUUUGAAUCAAAGAAACUAGAACAUGAAGUAAAGACAUUGGCAACAAAAUUAGGAAAACAAGAACUAUUAGAUCUAGAACUAGAUAGGUGCUUUGUGAGAAGAUCAUCUUGAUCACCAUGUCUGAGAUCAGAAAGACUCUUAGUAACAGCUGGUUGAAGAGACUUGAAAAUAUAUAGACCCCCUUGUUCCUUACCAACCUCCAGAGGGCUCUUCAGUGAAGGGCCCUGCAACAUAAAACAUUUGUUAGGGGUAAAUAAAAUAUUUUUCUGAAACUGUUUGCACAGUUUAUGAAUAGACAAAAGAUUGCACUUGAAAGACUGAAUAUAGAGGACAUGGUGAAGAAUUAAUUUAGGUAAGAGUUCGAUAGAUCCUGAAUGAGUUACAGUGACUCUAUGUGAAUUAGGAAGAGUAACCAUAAUAGGUUGAGGCAAAGGACUGAGAUUAGAGAAAAGAGUUCUAUUAGAUGUUAUAUGCUCAGAAGCUCCACUGUCUAAAAUCCAUGAAACAUUGCCAACUGUAAACAGAGAAACAUUAGAAUUGGGUAUACCUGCACAAGUGAUGUUAGCAGAUCCUUCACUAGUAUUGCUAGUUUGAUGGUUCAUCUUCUGUAAUAGUUGCAAGAGUUGAGCAACAUUCUCCUGACUGAGUGAAGUUUGAUCUGUAGAACCUUCCACACCAUGACUGUUAACCUCAGAUGAACUAAAAACAUUGUUAGCAACAUGACCUUGUUGGUAUUUUUUAUUCUUGGUGAACUUAAAAUCAUCAGGGAAUCCACGAAGCUUAUAGCACUGUUCAAUAGUGUGACCUGUCUUCUUGCAAUAGUUACAAAUGAAAUUGUUUUCUUGGAAAAGUUCCCUGGCUUAGGUUUAUAUUCAUCAAACCUCCUAGUUCCUGAAUUUCCAACAAGAAAGGAGGCAGACUUUGUUGGGUAAUUAGGAACAACAUGUAUUUCUCUCUGUUUUUCAUCUUGAACUACCAGAGAGUAAACUUGACCAAUGGUAGGAAGAGGGGAAGACAAUAGAAUGUUACUUCUAACCCCAAUGAAGGUGUCACUAAGACCCAUGAGAAAUUGAAGUAGCCUUUCAUCCUGAUGAGCUUUGACAAUUUUUUCUUUAGUACCACAUACACAAUCACAAGAACAAGCUGAAAAAGUGUUAAGAGCAUCAAGCUCAUCCCAUAAACUUUUCAUCUUGGUGAAAUAAGUAGAAAUACUAGAAUUUCCUUGUACAACAGCAUUUAACUCUUUCUGUAAUUGAAAUAAUUUUGCUCCACUAGCCUGACCAAAUCUGUCUUCCAGGUCAGACCACAAGACUUUUGCACUUUUGGAGUAGAAAACAGAUUCAGCAAUCUCUUUUGAAAGAGAAUUCAGCA